CCUACGGGGCGCAGCAGUGAGGAAUAUUGGUCAAUGGACGAGCGUCUGAACCAGCCAAGUAGCGUGAAGGAUGACUGCCCUAUGGGUUGUAAACUUCUUUUAUCAAGGAAUAAAACGAGGCACGUGUGCCUUUUUGCAUGUACUUUAUGAAUAAGGCACGGCUAACUCCGUGCCAGCAGCCGCGGUAAUACGGAGGAUCCGAGCGUUAGCCGGAUUUAUUGGGUUUAAAGGGAGCGUAGAUGGGUUGUUAAGUCAGUUGUGAAAGUUUGCGGCUCAACCGUAAAAUUGCAAUUGAUACUGGCAGUCUAGAGUACAGGUGAGGUAGGCGGAAUGCGUGGUGUAGCGGUGAAAUGCUUAGAUAUCACGAAGAACCCCGAUUGCGAAGGCAGCUUACUAAACUGUGACUGACGUUGAUGCUCGAAAGUGUGGGUAUCAAACAGGAUUAGAUACCCUAGUAGUC
This 460-nucleotide ribosomal RNA is filed under the name uncultured bacterium. RNAcentral describes it as "partial 16S ribosomal RNA". It matches the Rfam family "Bacterial small subunit ribosomal RNA", at positions 338 to 795 of the family's 1533-position model. The record is from RNAcentral.